This 254-nucleotide ribosomal RNA is filed under the name uncultured bacterium. Its description in RNAcentral is "partial 16S ribosomal RNA". It matches the Rfam family "Bacterial small subunit ribosomal RNA", at positions 524 to 776 of the family's 1533-position model. The record is from RNAcentral.
CACGUAGGGACCAAGCGUUGUCCGGAUUUAUUGGGCGUAAAGAGCUCGUAGGCGGUUCGGUAAGUCGGGUGUGAAAACUCUGGGCUCAACUCAGAGAGUCCACCCGAUACUGCCGUGACUUGAGUCCGGUAGGGGAGCACGGAAUUCCUGGUGUAGCGGUGAAAUGCGCAGAUAUCAGGAGGAACACCGGUGGCGAAGGCGGUGCUCUGGGCCGGUACUGACGCUGAGGAGCGAAAGCGUGGGGAGCAAACAGG